Mustela lutreola (European mink) is the source of this 2173-nucleotide long non-coding RNA. RefSeq lists it as uncharacterized. NCBI's taxonomy places the organism in Eukaryota, Metazoa, Chordata, Mammalia, Carnivora, Mustelidae. The record is from RefSeq and is a predicted model, not a curated record. The transcript is spliced from 2 exons.
UUGCAUGCCACUGACGAAUACUGGAGACAACGGAGUAUGACAGUCUUCCAGGAACUCCUAACUGUCUUGUGUUAAUGCUUUGCUUGACGUUAGCUAGGCCUUCAGGAACCUAUAAGUCUUCUUUAACAUGUGAAAAGCCUUUCAGGAUCUUCCCAUUGUCUAUCCCCCCCCCCCCCCCCCCAUCUCCGAAGUAUAUAAUCAGUUGCUCCUCACAAUCUCAGUGCAGCCCUUUCUACUCACAGGUCCUGUCCCGGAGCUAUAACAAAAAACACCUGUUUGCACCAAAAACGUCUCGGGAAUUCUUUCUUGGCUGUUGGCUCUGAACCUCAACAUUUCCACAUCAUUUUGGCAUCACAGCUUGAGGCCUGAGAGUUCUCAUCUGGACUGCGAAGCCUUGGUGCAAAUUUGGAAACCCAUGAGCAAAUUAAUGUGCGUUCUAAUUCCUGUGAACCUGUAGAAGAUCUCAAACUCCUCUUCAAACAACAAUGAAGGUUGUAUAUUUUCUUUUUGUUUUCUAUUCAUCUAUCUUAGCUCGUAAUUCCUUUCCACAAUGGGCACAACAUUACGCUAAACUACAAAAUCGAACAACUUGUGGAGUUCUGUCAAGUACAUCUAGGUUACCCUGGUGGGUUUCCCCUAUACAAGGCACCGAUUGGCACUCUCUGUAUAAUUACAUUUCAGAAAUAAUACAUAAUGAUAUCCUGUUUCGUGACCAGUCUAUCACUAAUCAGAAUGUUUUUUCCUGGCCCAUGGUCAAUAGGACAUGCCAUUUACCAGGACAUAACCGGACCUUUUCAUAUCCUCAAACUAUUAAAAUAUUAACUGAAUUUACAAACCCACAAAUUGAUGCCCACCAACGAGUGCCUAAAUUACAAACCCCUACUUAUCGCUAUACUGAGGAUGGCAUGUAUCAGAUUUGGGAUGCAUAUUUAUGGCUCACAGCCACCACUGCACAGCUCAUUCAAAAGGCAGUUUUAUGCUGGGAACAAAGAAAUCAUACAUAUGAUACCUGGGAAAAUAGCACACGCCAUUUAGGAUGGCUAUCAUUAGAAGUAUGUUCUCAAAACAUUGUACUCCAGGCUACUGACUGGUUUGCUACUGAUUGGAGAAGGCGACCUGGAAUCAGAUGGCUAGCUCCAAACGGAACCCACUGGUUAUGUGGGACUAAUCUAUGGCCUUGGCUUCCUCCAGGAUGGAUAGGUCGUUGUACCUUAGGUUUUGCCUGGAUUCACGGUUGCAUUCCCUCAACUAUCAGUACUCCAGCCAAUCUUCCCAAUUUAAAAUAAAGAUGGACAUGAUCUAUUUUUCAUUGGUAUGAUCGUUUGGGAUCCAUUUUUCCUCCACACCUGUAGUAUUAGAAAUUAAUUUGGCAUAAGGAGGUCCCUAAUAAAUACCCAAAUUAGCACUUUAGAUGAUCUCUCUUUUCUUCAGUGAUGGGUUAAGCUCCUGGACUGGAUAAAGAUUUUGGUCAACUAUCAAAGGUCUUUUAUUCAGGCUGCUCUUUCUCAUAAUAAUAACUUUAUUUUAUUAUCUUUUCCAAUGUCUCCCUGCCUGGUGCUGAGACUCCUUCAUUGCCAAAACUUCAAGCCAACAAAUGGUCCUUCUUACUCAAGGAGAUUAAUAUAUGUUGCCCACCUUGGAUUGCCUGACUCUGCCUUUGGUAACUCUUUCUCUCUCUAUAUAUAGAUAUUUAUCCCCAACUGACCAAUGUUCACCCAUAAGUAGGGACAUCUCUACACCCCUAUUCAGCAGGAAGAAGUUACAGAAGCUGAGACCUUCUGCCCUCAACAGCCUUAAAGAUUUAAGGGUCAGAACUGUUCAGUGGGGAAUGAUGUAGAGAACAAAGGCAAAAGGAAAUGUAGAUAAAAUUCGAUUUCCUUCUAACCUGCAGCCCACUGACAAAUAUUUGAGAUUGGCAGAGUAGGACAUUCCUCCAGGAACUCCCAACUGUUUUAAUGUUACUACCUUGCCAGGAGGAAAAGCAACCUUAACAUACAGCAGCUAGGCCUCCAGGAUCCUGUACGUUUUCUCAGCUUUUGGAAACUUCCCAUUGUCCUUACCUCUCCCAUCUACAAAGUAUAUAAUCAGUUGCUCCUCACAAUCCCAGUGCAGCCCUUUCUGCCCACACGCCCUGUCUUGUGCUAUAAUAAAAAACACCUGUUUGCACCAAAAA